This 73-nucleotide transfer RNA is filed under the name Capra hircus (goat). It matches the Rfam family "tRNA". From Rfam's summary of the family: Transfer RNA (tRNA) molecules are approximately 80 nucleotides in length. RNAcentral also lists the same sequence under 1 other name. The record is from Rfam by way of RNAcentral. Lineage: Eukaryota; Metazoa; Chordata; Mammalia; Artiodactyla; Bovidae.
UCCCUGAUGGUCCAGUGGCUGGGACUUAACACUCCCAAUGCAAGGGGCCCAGGUUCCAUUCCUGGUCGGGGAU